AUGGCAAAACCCAGCAAGAAGAUUGUGCUGAAGCUACAAUGCCAGUGCUGCAAGAACUACUCCCAGCGUGUCAUCAAGAGGUGCAAGCAUUUUGAGAUCGAUGGAGACAAGUAG
RNAcentral lists this ribosomal RNA (114 nucleotides) under Triticum aestivum (bread wheat). RNAcentral's name for it is "partial small subunit ribosomal RNA". Lineage: Eukaryota; Viridiplantae; Streptophyta; Magnoliopsida; Poales; Poaceae. The record is from RNAcentral.